This 565-nucleotide long non-coding RNA is filed under the name Rhinopithecus bieti (black snub-nosed monkey). Its description in RNAcentral is "lncRNA (ENSRBIG00000045821.1)". The record is from RNAcentral. Lineage: Eukaryota; Metazoa; Chordata; Mammalia; Primates; Cercopithecidae.
AUGAUGUCUACUUGGGCUGAAGGCUCAGAGCGCUCGUUCCUUUGGACACCCCUCAGCAGACGAAUGAAUCCCUGCCUGCUUCCCUAUGGCAAGGCCCUCUACAGCUACGAGGGGAAGGAACCUGGCGACCUCAAGUUCAACAAGGGGGACAUCAUCGUCCUGCGGCGCAAGGUGGAUGAACAGUGGUACCAUGGCGAGCUGCACGGCACACAGGGCUUCCUCCCAGCCAGCUAUAUCCAGUGCAUCCAGCCCUUGCCACAUGCCCCGCCCCAGGGAAAAGCACUUUAUGAUUUCGAGAUGAAGGACAAAGACCAAGACAAGGACUGUCUGACCUUCACCAAGGUAAGGUGGGCUCUGGGGUGGGUCCCGCCAGCCCGUGCAGCCUCUGUCCACCCAGGGCUCUUCCCAGCCACAGGCCUGCAGCCAGCCAGUGUCUUUCCUCAGAUUCUGAAUCCUGGCUCCUCCCAGAACCCUGAGCAAAUGACCCAGCAGCCUCCCUCCCUGUGCCUCCAUGAAUGGGGUGGUGGUUUUUUUGAUUGAAUGCUAUGGAGGGCAGCAGCCUGAC